This 422-nucleotide ribosomal RNA is filed under the name uncultured prokaryote. RNAcentral describes it as "bacterial SSU rRNA". It matches the Rfam family "Bacterial small subunit ribosomal RNA", at positions 355 to 774 of the family's 1533-position model. The record is from RNAcentral.
UGAGGAAUAUUGGUCAAUGGGCGCAAGCCUGAACCAGCCAUCCCGCGUGCAGGAAGACGGCCCUAUGGGUUGUAAACUGCUUUUCCAGGGGGAGAAUUUUUCUGUCGUGACAGGAAUUGACGGUACCCUGGGAAUAAGCAUCGGCUAACUCCGUGCCAGCAGCCGCGGUAAUACGGAGGAUGCGAGCGUUAUCCGGAUUUAUUGGGUUUAAAGGGUGCGUAGGCGGAUAGGUAAGUCAGUGGUGAAAACCUGCAGCUUAACUGUAGACUUGCCGUUGAUACUGGCAGUCUUGAGUAUGGUCAAGGUAGGUGGAAUGUGUAAUGUAGCGGUGAAAUGCGUAGAUAUUACACAGAACACCGAUUGCGAAGGCAGCUUGCUGGGCCAUUACUGACGCUGAUGCACGAAAGCGUGGGGAGCGAACA